Molecule: ribosomal RNA, 440 nt
Filed under: uncultured bacterium
Lineage: Bacteria
Description: partial 16S ribosomal RNA
Rfam family: Bacterial small subunit ribosomal RNA
Source: RNAcentral
CUAUGGGGGGCACCAGUCGAGAAUCAUCCGCAAUGGGCGAAAGCCUGACGGUGCAAUGCCGCGUGGGGGAUGAAGGCCCUCGGGUCGUAAACCCCUGUCAGGAGGGACGAAGAAGUGACGGUACCUCCAGAGGAAGCCACGGCUAACUACGUGCCAGCAGCCGCGGUAAUACGUAGGUGGCGAGCGUUAUUCGGAUUUACUGGGCGUAAAGGGUCCGCAGGGGGUUUGCCAAGUCUGGUGUGAAAUCUCACAGCUCAACUGUGAAACUGCGCUGGAUACUGGUGAACUAGAGUGCGCGAGGGGUGAGUGGAAUUCCUGGUGUAGCGGUGGAAUGCGUAGAUAUCAGGAAGAACACCAACGGCGAAGGCAGCUCACUGGCGCGCAACUGACCCUCAUGACGAAAGCGUGGGUAGCAAACAGGAUUAGAUACCCGGGUAGUC